CCUACGGGAGGCAGCAGUAGGGAAUCUUCGGCAAUGGACGGAAGUCUGACCGAGCAACGCCGCGUGAGUGAAGAAGGUUUUCGGAUCGUAAAGCUCUGUUGUAAGAGAAGAACGAGUGUGAGAGUGGAAAGUUCACACUGUGACGGUAUCUUACCAGAAAGGGACGGCUAACUACGUGCCAGCAGCCGCGGUAAUACGUAGGUCCCGAGCGUUGUCCGGAUUUAUUGGGCGUAAAGCGAGCGCAGGCGGUUAGAUAAGUCUGAAGUUAAAGGCUGUGGCUUAACCAUAGUACGCUUUGGAAACUGUUUAACUUGAGUGCAAGAGGGGAGAGUGGAAUUCCAUGUGUAGCGGUGAAAUGCGUAGAUAUAUGGAGGAACACCGGUGGCGAAAGCGGCUCUCUGGCUUGUAACUGACGCUGAGGCUCGAAAGCGUGGGUAGCAAACAGGAUUAGAUACCCCAGUAGUC
RNAcentral lists this ribosomal RNA (465 nucleotides) under uncultured Streptococcus sp. RNAcentral describes it as "bacterial SSU rRNA". It matches the Rfam family "Bacterial small subunit ribosomal RNA", at positions 338 to 795 of the family's 1533-position model. The record is from RNAcentral. Lineage: Bacteria; Bacillati; Bacillota; Bacilli; Lactobacillales; Streptococcaceae.